UACGAAGGGGGCUAGCGUUGUUCGGAAUCACUGGGCGUAAAGCGCACGCAGGCGGAUCGAUAAGUCGGGGGUGAAAGCCCGGGGCUCAACAUCGGAAUUGCCUUCGAUACUGUCGGUCUCGAGUCCGGGAGAGGUGAGUGGAAUUCCUAGUGUAGAGGUGAACUUCGUAGAUAUUAGGAAGAACACCAGUAGCGAAGGCGGCUCACUGGCCCGGUACUGACGCUCAGGUGCGAAAGCGUCGGGAGCAAACCGG
RNAcentral lists this ribosomal RNA (253 nucleotides) under uncultured bacterium. RNAcentral describes it as "partial 16S ribosomal RNA". It matches the Rfam family "Bacterial small subunit ribosomal RNA", at positions 524 to 776 of the family's 1533-position model. The record is from RNAcentral.